Molecule: ribosomal RNA, 445 nt
Filed under: uncultured bacterium
Lineage: Bacteria
Description: SSU rRNA
Rfam family: Bacterial small subunit ribosomal RNA
Source: RNAcentral
AGAGCGAACGCUGGCGGCAGGCCUAACACAUGCAAGUCGAGCGCCCGUAGCAAUACGGGAGCGGCAGACGGGAUAGUAACACGUGGGAACGCGCCCUUUGGUUCGGAACAACUCAGGGAAACUUGAGCUAAUACCGAAUGUGCCCUUCGGGGGAAAGAUUUAUCGCCAUUGGAGCGGCCCGCGUCUGAUUAGCUAGUUGGUGAGGUAAAGGCUCACCAAGGCGACGAUCAGUAGCUGGUCUGAGAGGAUGAUCAGCCACACUGGGACUGAGACACGGCCCAGACUCCUACGGGAGGCAGCAGUAGGGAAUCUUGCGCAAUGGGCGAAAGCCUGACGCAGCCAUGCCGCGUGAAUGAUGAAGGUCUUAGGAUUGUAAAAUUCUUUCAGCGGGACGAUAAUGACGGUACCGCAGAAGAAGCCCGGCUAACUUCGUGCCAGCAGCCGC